AUUGAACGCUGGCGGCAUGCUUUACACAUGCAAGUCGAACGGUAACAGGCCGCCAGGUGCUGACGAGUGGCGAACGGGUGAGUAAUGCAUCGGAACGUGCCCAGUCGUGGGGGAUAACUACUCGAAAGAGUAGCUAAUACCGCAUACGAUCUAUGGAUGAAAGCGGGGGACCGUAAGGCCUCGCGCGAUUGGAGCGGCCGAUGUCAGAUUAGGUAGUUGGUGGGGUAAAGGCUCACCAAGCCAACGAUCUGUAGCUGGUCUGAGAGGACGACCAGCCACACUGGGACUGAGACACGGCCCAGACUCCUACGGGAGGCAGCAGUGGGGAAUUUUGGACAAUGGGCGCAAGCCUGAUCCAGCAAUGCCGCGUGCAGGAAGAAGGCCUUCGGGUUGUAAACUGCUUUUGUACGGAACGAAACGGCCCUGGUUAAUACCCGGGGCUAAUGACGGUACCGUAAGAAUAAGCACCGGCUAACUACGUG
RNAcentral lists this ribosomal RNA (482 nucleotides) under uncultured bacterium. Its description in RNAcentral is "partial 16S ribosomal RNA". It matches the Rfam family "Bacterial small subunit ribosomal RNA", at positions 30 to 507 of the family's 1533-position model. The record is from RNAcentral.